CCAGAUGUAGCAAAAGUUGGUUCUUUGCAUGAUAAAGAAGUCUCAUUGGAGCAACCCACUGAUAAUGUGGUGGUCACGGCAAAACCUGUUAUAACUACUUACACUUCAAGAAAAAGAUCUGGAGGCUUACGGUCUAGAAAACACGCCCCACAGAAAAAGGAUUCAUCAGUUGAAAGGUCCACAAGUUUGUCAAGGUUGGAAUCCUCUAGAUUCCAGAAUUUGGUGGUGCCAUCUAAUGAUGGUAACAAGAGUGCAGGC
Molecule: unclassified non-coding RNA, 258 nt
Filed under: Hevea brasiliensis (rubber tree)
Lineage: Eukaryota; Viridiplantae; Streptophyta; Magnoliopsida; Malpighiales; Euphorbiaceae
Source: RNAcentral